GCGGGGCUUAUUUCAAUACACGGUUAGUUGUGGCUAUACGACUUGGGCACUGUUUGAUUAUUUAAAACUAUUAAAGUUCUGUUUAAUAUUGUUGAUAUCAAGGUUGUUGAUAAUAAAUAUUUAUCAUUUACAUUAGUUGUUUAGUGCAGACCAAUUGAAAAAAGUUCUUAAAAUUGAACACUUGAACACUUUAAUACAGAAAUAAGAAGAUGUGUUAUGAUAGCAAAUAAGACAACUUUAGUCUAAAUUCAACAAAUAAAGAUAGUCGGUAAGAUGAAUUCAUUACAUAGUGUGCUAGUGACCUAAUAUGAUAUAUACAGGGUAAGUAAAUUUCAUAU
This 338-nucleotide long non-coding RNA is filed under the name Mytilus galloprovincialis (Mediterranean mussel). The record is from RNAcentral. Lineage: Eukaryota; Metazoa; Mollusca; Bivalvia; Mytilida; Mytilidae.